This 253-nucleotide ribosomal RNA is filed under the name uncultured bacterium. RNAcentral describes it as "partial 16S ribosomal RNA". It matches the Rfam family "Bacterial small subunit ribosomal RNA", at positions 524 to 776 of the family's 1533-position model. The record is from RNAcentral.
UACGAAUGGGGCAAGCGUUGUUCGGAAUCACUGGGCGUAAAGCGUGUGUAGGCGGUUAAUCAAGUCAGAAGUGAAAUCCCAGGGCUUAACCCUGGAAUUGCUUUUGAAACUGAUUGGCUAGAGUACUGGAGAGGUUAGCAGAAUUCCGAGUGUAGAGGUGAAAUUCGCAGAUAUUCGGAGGAAUACCAGUGGCGUAAGCGGCUAACUGGACAGUAACUGACGCUGAGACACGAAAGCGUGGGGAUCAAACAGG